This 167-nucleotide small nuclear RNA is filed under the name Myotis brandtii (Brandt's bat). Its description in RNAcentral is "U1 spliceosomal RNA". It matches the Rfam family "U1 spliceosomal RNA". From Rfam's summary of the family: U1 is a small nuclear RNA (snRNA) component of the spliceosome (involved in pre-mRNA splicing). Its 5' end forms complementary base pairs with the 5' splice junction, thus defining the 5' donor site of an intron. There are significant differences in sequence and secondary structure between metazoan and yeast U1 snRNAs, the latter being much longer (568 nucleotides as compared to 164 nucleotides in human). The record is from Rfam by way of RNAcentral. Lineage: Eukaryota; Metazoa; Chordata; Mammalia; Chiroptera; Vespertilionidae.
ACACUUACCUGGCAGGGGAGAUACCAUGGUCAGGAAGGUGGUUCUCCCAGGGCGAGGCGAGGCUUAUCCAUGGCACUCGGAUAUGCUGACCCCUGAGAUUUCCCUAAAUGUGGGAAACCCGACUGCAUAACCAGUGGUGGUGGGGACUGCGUUCGCGCUCUCCCCGG